RNAcentral lists this long non-coding RNA (592 nucleotides) under Sinocyclocheilus anshuiensis. Its description in RNAcentral is "lncRNA (ENSSANG00000002937.1)". Lineage: Eukaryota; Metazoa; Chordata; Actinopteri; Cypriniformes; Cyprinidae. The record is from RNAcentral.
GCUGGAACAGUAAGCAGUUGAAAACAUCACAUCUUAAGACUGAGAUGUUCAUUACUGUGAUAUUUGGUGAGGGAAGAGAGGAGAUACUGAACCUAAACUGCAAGGUUAUAAACUUCAUCCACUGUAUAAAAGAAAAAUGCAAUCUAGAUCCCCAAGAGACUGUGGACUUGAUGGACAGGAUGGGAGAGCUGGUGAACUUGGCAGAGAGAGCACAGAGCACCGACCUCGUCAGCAGUUUGCUGAAGGAGAGAGAGAGCUAUAUUCCAUUACGUGUAUCACGUGAGUUUGCCCUCACCAACUUCAGGUACAUCAGAUAUCACAAUAACUUUACGGAAAACAUCAGUAAAUACAGCUUUGUAUGUUCUCUUAUGCAGGAGGUGAAGGCAGUGAAGGUCCAAAGUAUACUGCAGUGUAUGACUUUGGGACAAGUUACCCUGAGCUAGCAGGCAAUGCUUCUAUUUUUCAUUCAUUAAUCUAUAAUUUAUUAAAAAGGAAAAAUUUGUUAUCAAGAAAAACACUCCAUGCUGCUUCUUUUCAUUGUAUUGUUAUUUUAAAGGAUUUUCCCACCAAUCUAAUGAAAAUAAAAUGUACG